UACGUAGGGUCCGAGCGUUAAUCGGAUUUACUGGGCGUAAAGGGCGCGUAGGCGGUCGUGACAAGUCACUUGUGAAAUCUCCGGGCUUAACUCGGAACGGUCAAGUGAUACUGUCGGACUAGAGUACAGAAGGGGCAACUGGAAUUCUCGGUGUAGCGGUGAAAUGCGUAGAUAUCGAGAGGAACACCUGCGGCGAAGGCGGGUUGCUGGGCUGAUACUGACGCUGAGGCGCGAAAGCCAGGGGAGCGAACGGG
Molecule: ribosomal RNA, 254 nt
Filed under: uncultured bacterium
Lineage: Bacteria
Description: partial 16S ribosomal RNA
Rfam family: Bacterial small subunit ribosomal RNA
Source: RNAcentral